Molecule: ribosomal RNA, 484 nt
Filed under: uncultured bacterium
Lineage: Bacteria
Description: partial 16S ribosomal RNA
Rfam family: Bacterial small subunit ribosomal RNA
Source: RNAcentral
GGGGGGGGGGGGGGGGGGGCGGGGCGGGGGGGGGGGGGGGGGGGGGGGGGAGCUUGCGCCGGGGGUCAGCGGCGGACGGGUGAGUGAUGCCUAGGAAUCGGCCUGGUAGUGGGGGGUAACGUCCGGAGACGGGCGCUCAUACCGCCUACGUCCUGAGGGAGACAGGGGGGGAUCUUCGGACCUCACGCUCUCAGAUGAGCCUAUGUCGGAUUAGCUAGUUGGUGGGGUAAAGGCCUACCAAGGCGACGCUCCGGAACUGGUCUGAUAGGAUGAUCAGUCACACUGGAACUGAGACACGGUCCAGACUCCUACGGGAGGCAGCAGUGGGGAAUAUUGGACAAAGGGCGAAAGCCUGAUCCAGCCAUGCCGCGUGUGUGAAGAAGGUCUUCGGAUUGUAAAGCACUUUAAGUUGGGAGGAAGGGCAGUAAGUUAAUACCUUGCUGUUUUGACGUUACCAACAGAAUAAGCACCGGCUAACUUCGUG